CCGAGACGUGCUGGUCACGGACUGCAGCACAUGAACAAGUCAGGAUCGAAUCGAUCGACUCUACACCUCUCGUCCACGGCCGACUUCUCAUAAAUAUCCAGCACCUCCAACUUGUCCGAUUUUUCGCAAAACGGAGAUCUCCCGUGCCCUAUCUUUCCCGUACGGACCGGUCGGAUCUCGCCGGAGUUCGCCGCUGCAGGAGCGCCCCGCUGGUCGAUUCCGUCGCGUUUGGAGACACCACAUCGAGCCCUAGGACCUCAGCCUGAAGCUUCAUGGAGGCAGCUCCGCUCCAGCCGGUCACUGUCACCACAGGAGCAAGCCCCAAUCGUCUCCGAGGUCACCUAAUUCAUCUCUGUGGCGUUCUGCAUCCGUCGGUGAUCUCUACGUAGCCGGAGGGCCCCUGUAGCCGUCGCUCACAUCACUACCGACCCGCCCUCGCCGUUCUUCUCCAAGUCCGGCGGCCAUCGAGCCCUGUCUCUCCGAUUGUCCGGAGUGUGAAGCGGAUCGGAAUUAAUCGUUAGAGUACUUCAACACCGCUCAAGGCAAGUUGCACUUUUGAUUAUGCUCAUCCUAUAUGUCUGUUGUGCAUUGUUAGGAUAUGUUAUAUGCUUGGUAUGACUCUUAUAUUGCUUGUCGCCAUGUGCGUGUCCUGUUUGCAUUGUUUAAGUGUAUGCUUGGAUUUGCUAUGGUAGACGUGGGUGUGUGUCGAGUGGUGCAUGGAAGUGGUGAGUCUUUAUAGCUGUAGGCUCGGGACUUUUUCUCGGGUGAACGCGUCAAUGGCUGAGCGCUCUAUUGUCCCUAGAGAAUGCGCCAUGACUGAGCGCACUUGGGUUGUCGGGGCUUUUUCUCAAGUGAAUGCGUCACUGGCUGAGCGCUCUAUUGUCCCUAGAGAAUGCGCCAGGACUGAGCGCACUUGAGACAUCUUGAAGAUCUUUAUCAUCUGUGUUGUUUGCACCUUGCCUGUGUCGUGGAGGUAGGUGAAGGUAGUUUUACGCGAAACCAACUUGAGUGUUUUGUUUGUCAUACUUUGCAGGUAGAUGUAGGUGUGCUUUAUCAUUAUGUGUAAUUUGCCAAUACAUUCAAUGUAUUGACCCUUUGUGGCUGCAACUUAUCAUGUUGCAGGAUAUUCAGGUGAUCAGUGAGAUACAGUAGGGUUGCGAGUCUUCACUCAGCAUUUUCGCCAGUGGGCAUUGAUGGGAUUCAUCGUUUAUUUUGCUACCUUUCCGCUGUUAUUAUUGAAUAAGUUACCCAUGUGCUAUUCAGUUUGUAAUAUUUUAUAAAUUCUGGAAUAUACGUUGUAGUAAAUGAUGCACUUGUUAUUUGAUAUUCAUAUGUACUGUGUGUGCUAGCGAGUCGAUCCAGGGACUAGCACAGUGAGCACAGAGACUCAAAUCCUUCGAGGUUUGGUCGUUACAGAUGGUAUCAGAGCAGUGUGUUGACUGUAAGUCGUGA
Aegilops tauschii subsp. strangulata is the source of this 1452-nucleotide long non-coding RNA. RefSeq lists it as uncharacterized. The record is from RefSeq and is a predicted model, not a curated record. NCBI's taxonomy places the organism in Eukaryota, Viridiplantae, Streptophyta, Magnoliopsida, Poales, Poaceae.